GAAUGCUGAAUCAUACAAUCAUACAAGACACAAGCAAACGAAACUCUGGAUUUUUUUUUUUUUUUUUUUUUUUUUUGGUGUGGAGAAGAUUCAAAUUGUAAAUUUAUAUAAUUAUAAUUUAGCCUGGAAAUCUGGCAAUUUCAGUGAGGUGUCAGUUGCUAAGGUUUCUCAUGUCAGCCUGGAAUUUUGGUUACAGGAGGAAUGAGUAACUGUCUCUGAGUAGCUAAUGCCCUUGUGACUGUGGGAUGGUAAGACAGCCAAUAUCUCAGCCUUAUAUAUCUUAUUCAACCAAAGAAUAUGCAACUUAAUCAUGGUGGGCUUCAAAUUUCAAGUAGAAAUAAAAUACUUCUAUUACUGAAAAUGAUUAGAUACUCAUAUUGCAGCAAAACAUAAAAGAAUUUACCUUUCUGGAUUUAUAGCUGAAGAAAGAGAACAGAAGAAAGAAAAAAAAUGUAGAAGAGAAGGAUCUGAAAAAAGCAAAAAGCCACAACAUUUAUAGGUAAAUCCCUUUUUUACUUCUGAUAAAAUACAAGGCUAAUCUCAGUGUGGCAACUCCUUUCCCUAGGGCAGGCUGUAUCUGAGAGGAACCACUGCAGUCACAAGCUCUGAAGUCAUGCAGAGGCUUGAAAUAUUCAGUGAUGCCAUACUUUGUGACUGUGGCACACAAUAUUAGCCAAAGGGCUGGGCACACAAGGCACAUACAUUAGAUAAUGUUAUUCAGAGCCUAACCAGGACUUCAUGUGGAACAGGCUCAUAAACGGCAGCUGGGAACAGGCACGCGCAGACACUUCUGGCUGGCUGACACUUUCCAAAGGAGUUCUAAGAAAGAGAAAGCGACAAAAAGGAAGAAGAGAACCUGAAAGAAGAAAAUGGAGCAUGCCUAAGAAAACUACACUUCCAAUAACAUCAAGUUAUCCUCAAGGGACAUGUAUAAGUAGAAGAUAUUACAUGGCUGAACAGUAAAUAUCACAUUUCUUUUUACAAGCAUGUUUCUGCAUUUUAUUAUAUCUUGACUGGCAGAUCCAUAAAUUUUGAAUAUCCAGUCUAAGAAAGGGCAGACUCGAAAUCUACAGGUUGCAUUCUUCAUGGGUCUAAAUGGUCA
RNAcentral lists this long non-coding RNA (1102 nucleotides) under Anas platyrhynchos platyrhynchos (common mallard). RNAcentral describes it as "lncRNA (ENSAPLG00000020685.1)". Lineage: Eukaryota; Metazoa; Chordata; Aves; Anseriformes; Anatidae. The record is from RNAcentral.